UACGGGGGGGGCAAGCGUUGUUCGGAAUUACUGGGCGUAAAGGGCUCGUAGGUGGCCAACUAAGUCAGACGUGAAAUCCCUCGGCUUAACCGGGGAACUGCGUCUGAUACUGGAUGGCUGGAGUAUGGGAGAGGGAUGCGGAAUUCCAGGUGUAGCGGUGAAAUGCGUAGAUAUCUGGAGGAACACCGGUGGCGAAGGCGGCAUCCUGGACCAUUACUGACGCUGAGGGGCGAAAGCCAGGGGAGCAAACGGG
This 253-nucleotide ribosomal RNA is filed under the name uncultured bacterium. Its description in RNAcentral is "partial 16S ribosomal RNA". It matches the Rfam family "Bacterial small subunit ribosomal RNA", at positions 524 to 776 of the family's 1533-position model. The record is from RNAcentral.